UAGGGUGUAGCGCAGUGGCUACCGCGCUUCGUUCGGGACAUAGAGGCCGGUGGUUCGAGUCCACUCACCCCGAUCA
This 76-nucleotide transfer RNA is filed under the name Alphaproteobacteria bacterium. RNAcentral describes it as "tRNA-Pro". It matches the Rfam family "tRNA". From Rfam's summary of the family: Transfer RNA (tRNA) molecules are approximately 80 nucleotides in length. Their secondary structure includes four short double-helical elements and three loops (D, anti-codon, and T loops). The record is from RNAcentral. Lineage: Bacteria; Pseudomonadati; Pseudomonadota; Alphaproteobacteria. RNAcentral also lists the same sequence under 1 other name.